This 7123-nucleotide long non-coding RNA is filed under the name Homo sapiens (human). RNAcentral describes it as "non-protein coding lnc-SMNDC1-2:4". Lineage: Eukaryota; Metazoa; Chordata; Mammalia; Primates; Hominidae. The record is from RNAcentral.
CUCUCUUCCGCGCUUCGCUGAGGGACUCACUCGCGCAUCACCCGCGGCUGCCGGUCGAGUGUCCCAGGCGCUCCGGGGCCGCGGUGACCCUCGCGGUGCGGACCGAGGAGGAAGCGCCGUGGGGGGCGGGGCGGCGCCGCACGAUCCGGCCUUCAGCUUCACGGACGUGGGCUGAGAACCCGCCCGCGCCGCGCUGAGCAGGGCCGAGGGAGCCGGCCAGGGCCCCAGAGGAGUCCGGAACGGAUUCCCGUCGCUACCGAGGUCUGCGCGUGUAAGGAGAGGACGUCGGAGAUUUGCCUCGAGGGGUGGGGUAUAGAUGACUGGAGAGGUCAGGCGCGGGUUGGUCAUCGCUGAGGCUGGGUGAUGGGUGGCCGGAUUCGUUAUACUGUUUUCUCCACUUUUCUGUAUGUUUGAUAUUUUUCAUAAUAAAGUUUGUAAAAGUAAAAACGGGGGUUGGGGGUCGGCGGUGAGAAUAGCCAUUUAAUCUUCCUAAAUGGAUUCUGCCCUCAAAGGAUUGACGCUCUUUUCUCUGUCACUCUCCAAUAAUGAUUAGAAUAAUAAGUUGUAUUUUGAGGAGCUGUUUUCUGGUCCCGGGGAGACCCUUGGUGAACUCAGCAGUACCAUCAGCAUGUAUCCCACGAUGGAGCUCAGUUCAGCCAACUGUUGUCCAGGUGGCUUCUGGAUUUGGGGGAUUAUCUAUGGAUCAAGUUUAAUCUCAGGCUGUCUGCCCCCACCGGUCCCCAGGGGCUUCAGGCCUCCCACCCCUAUUCCUGGGGAAGCAGACACAAUUCACCCAUUCAGCAAGCAUUUAUUGAGGGUCAGCCGUGUGCCAGGGCUUUGCUAGCUGCGGGGACACAUGGAUGGAAACAGGUUUCUGCCCCCAAGCUCACUGCCAACCAUUUUAUUGUUAGCCUGGCUGGGACUGCUUGAUGGAAAACAGUCUGCCCGCACUAGACAAGGGCUUGUUGACAACUGACAUAAGGGAAUGAGGUUUUCAGAAGGAAGCAGAGAUCAAAUUUUGAAAUCAGAUGCAAUCAAAUCAGACACCAGGACAGCCAGCAUUGCCUCUGGGUCACAGAUGCAUCCACCCAAAGGCGCUGUCCUCGCCUUGCCAGUGGGGUCUUGGUGAAGACGUGAUGCGGGGGCCUUCUUUCUUUUUGUGGUUAUCUGUGCCAGCCUUCCCUGCAGGCUGCUCUUCCUCUAGCACGUUCUGUUUCUGUUACCGGCUCUUUCCACCCCCGGCAUCUCCGCCUAGAGCCACACACAUACGCGGAGCACCCACGUGGGCCAGGCUUUGUUUUGGGGCUGGCGGCACCAACAUGCAGAUGCUGUGGCUCAAAGGAUUAAUUAAUUUGCUUAAGAUAAUGCAACAUGAGAAAAGCAGAUCAGGACGGAAUUCCAGAACAAGGAUUUUGCUUGAAAUAACAUCACUACUAAUUGUCUCUCUGCACCUCCUGGCUCAUUUCUCUACUCCCACACCUUCCCUGCUGACCCUAGUCAAGGAGCUGUGAACAUACAAAUAGUGCCUGAUACACUAGGGCCUCGGCAUUGGCCAUGGGAGUGAGGGAGAAAAUCAUUUAAGAGGCUUUGUAGUCGAUUUCAACAAAGAAGGCAAUGCCAGUGAAGCAUCUUGCAGGAAUCCCUCCCUGACUGCUUCAGUCCACAGCGCUCUUACCUUUCUCUAUACACUUACAAUCUGUUUCAUUUACUUCCUAGCAGACCUUGCAGAAACCAUUAUUUCAUAUGAUACGUUUCCCCCAUAGAAUAUAAGCUCCUUAAGGGAAGAGAUUUUUGCUUGGUUUUAUAAUGCUGAAUUCCAAGUGCCUAGAAAGGGCCUGGCAGGUCGUAGGCACAAGAAGUAUUGGUUGGUUGAAUAUAUACUUCUUGCAACCCACAGAAACUGAUGUUGGUCUGGGCCAGGCCCUGCCCUGGCUUCCAGGGAUGCAGAAGUGAAUCGAAUAACUUCCUGCCCUCUGAACUUAUGGGGGAGACAUACAUACCUGCAUAUUCACAAGAGAUUUCAUCACAUGUAACCAAAGUAAAAAGGUGGCCACCAGAAGGGGGACUGGACCUGCUUGUUGGAAGGGUGCAAAUGGAAACUAGAGAGGUGAUUGUUCCAGACAUUCCCAGUGGGACAGGUGGCUGUGAGCCUGUGAUGAACUGAGAGACACCACUGAGUAAAAGUUAAGAGGACAGGCUCUGGAGCCCAACUGUCUGGGUUGAAUCUUUCUCUACCAAUUACUAGUUGUGUGAUGUCGUACCAGUGAUAUACUGUUGAGAUAAACGCAUAUUCCAAGACUCACUGCAGAGAUUCCAAACCAGCAAGUCUGGGCUGGCUAGGAAUCUGCUUCGUUGUUCCACAAACAUGUUAUUGUUUAUUGCAGAGGGUCUACAGACCAUGCCUUGAAAAGCUGUGGCCUUCAGGGAGGAAGGGUCAUGCUAACCAGCAAACUGGAAUGUCACACUGUGUGUCAUUGACAUUUUUCAGUGUGAAAUCACAAACUAUCAUUCAGGGUUAGACUUUAUACUACCCAGUAAGUGUCAUGGAGGAGGCUUCAGGACAGCUGGGGAAUUCAACAGGCCUGGUCUCUACCAGGUUAUCCCGGGACACUCCCCAGCAGCAGAUUUCAAGGCAUUCUGCCUUCACUUUAGGCCUAGGGUGAACCUGCAGGAGGCUCUCUGCAAAUAUUCAUUGAUCAACCGAUAGCUUUUCUAGCCAAGCACCAGCUGGCUAGCCUCAGUCCCAUGCAGAGGUUCUGGGAGGACUGCAGGAACCCCAGAGAGGGCUAGGGUGCAAUGAGGGUGCAAGAGGUGGUACCCAGCUCUGAUGUCUCCAUGUCUUGACUUGAGCUAGGACCUCAUACCCAGGACCCCAGAGAAGCCAGAUGGAAAUAAGGCCAUAGGAGAUGUGAGGGCUCAGAGCCUGCAAUCUCUGGACAAACUCCAUCUCUUUGAGCCUCAGAUGAAAUGCAAGGCCUGAGUGUUACAGGUCAUUCUCCGUUUGUUCAUUCCGUAAAUAUUUCAGCCUCUGUCAUGUGCCAGGCUGCGCUAGGGAGACCAUGGUGAGACAGGUCUCUGUACUCAGUGAGCUUAUACUCCAGAGAGGGAUCAGACAAUAAGGUAAUAUACAUUAAUUAAUAUCAGAAGGUAAUGAGAGGAAGACCGUAGUCCAGGAGCAGCUAUGGCUCAUGGCUGUAAUCCCAACACUUUGGGAGGCUGAAGCAGGUAGAUCGCUGAGUCCAGGAGUUUGAGACCAGCCUGGGCAAUAUGGUGAAACCCUAUCUCACACACACAUAAAAUUAGCCAGCAUGGUGGCACACUCCUUUAGUCCCAGCUACUCAGGAGGCUGAGGUGGGAGGACUGAUUGAGCCCGGGAGGUCAAGGCUACAGUGAGCCAUGAUCACAUCCCUGCAUUCCAGCUUGGGUGACAGAGUGAGACCCUAUCUCAAGAAAAAAAAAAAAGAGAGAGAUAGAGGAAGACCAUAAAAGGGUAACGGAGCUGGUCAUGGUGGCUCAUGUUUACAGUCCCAGCUACUUAUCCAACCCACGGCCCAUGGGCUGCAUGAAGCCCAGGACAGCUUUGAACAUGGCCCAACACAAAUUCAUAAACUUUCUUAAAAAUUAUGAGAUUUUUGCCAGGCACAGUGGCUCACGCCUGUAAUCCCAGCACUUUGGGAGGCUGAGGCAGGUGGAUCACCUGAGGUCAGGAGUUCGAGACCAGCCUGACCAGCAUGGUGAAAUCCCAUCUCUACUAAAAAUACAAAAUUAGCGGGCAUGGCGGUACAUGCCUGUAAUCCCAGCUACUAGGAAAGCUGAGGCAGGAGAAUCACUUGAACCUGGGAGGCGGAGGUUGCAGUGAGCCGAGAUCAUGCCAUUGCACGCCAGCCUGGGCAACAAGAGCGAAACUCCAUCUCAAAAAAAAAAAAAAAAAAAUUAUGAGUUUUAUGUGAUUUUUUUUUUAAGCUCAUCAGCUAUCAUUAGUGUUAGUGUAUUUUAUGUGUGGCCCAAGGCAAUUCUUCUUCCAGUGUGGCCCAGGGAAGCCAAAAGAUUGGACACCCCUGCUCUACAGUGUUCUUAACAAGAGAUCCUGCAGGUUGGACAAGCUUGCUGUACAGCGUUCUUAACAAGAGAUCAUCUAGCCCCUGGGUGGCCAUCUGUACUGUCUGAGGGCUCAUGACUGUGACCUCAGAGACUCUUUAAAUAAUGAAAUCAUGGCUAUAACUAUGGCAAACCUCAAUGGAGAAUGUCAUGCCAAUCAUAACCUCGUUUCACCUGAGCUGCACAAUUACUUCUCAGGUAGGUGCUCCUGCUGUAUUAGGGGCAUUUUACCAAUUGGGAUGCUGAGACUUAGAGAGUUGAGGCAAGUUGCUCAGGUCACUUAUUUGUUAGGCGGCAGAACAGGGAUUCUAAUCCAGGGCGAACUCUAGAGUGCGGGACUCUUAAAUGACACAUGGCAUUGUUGAUCUAAUGGGGUUUGGUACCCGCUAUCCCACAUCCUACUUUUCUCUAAGGCAGGAACUCUUGGAUCUGGAGGUCACAGCCUCCCCUUAGACUGUAAAAAAGUGCCUGCUGGGCACUGGUCCCAUGCUGAGGGCACCCCUCUGGCACAUCCUCUGAGCAUGGGAUUGCUGAGAGCUACAGUCUGGGGGUGGUGAGCCAGAUCAGCACAGAUCAUGCAUGGAAACCACCCUUCUAGGCAACCCCUUCGAAAAGGAAGAAUUCCUGGUCCAGAGCUGUGUUCUUUUCCCAACCUGCCUCCAGUCUGCCUGCUCCAUGACCCCAGAUGUCUGCUUGAGUCAGCUCCAGGCCUGUGUGGGGGCGGCCCCUUGAUGUUAGCAUUGUGUUACUACUGAUGUAUUGGAGAAGCAUGCUGAGAUGGAUUCUUGUAAUUCAGUCCCUUUUUUAAGUAGUCAGAUGAUAAAAUAUGGCAUAAGAAUAUAAGCCUUCCAAGUUAGGUAUGUGUAUUAGGUUUGUAUAAGUCUGUUCCUGCCAGUUUGACUUUGAGAUACAUUGGAGCAAACUGCAAACUUUAGUUUUUAAAUUACAGUUAAUAUUAAAAAAAAAAAUGUUUCUAGGCUGGGCGCAGUGGCUCAUGCCUGUAAUCCCAGCAUUUUGGGUGGCUGAGGCAGGUGGAUUACUUAGGUCCAGGAGUUCAAGACCAGCCUGACCAACAUAAUGAAACCCCAUAACUACCAAAAAUACAAAAAUUAGUCAGGUGUAGUGGUGCACUGUAAUCCCAGCUACUUGGGAGACACAGGCAGGAGAAUUGCUUGAACCUGGGAGGUGGAGGUUGCAGUGAGCUGAGAUUGUGCCACUGCACUCCAGCCUGGGCGACAGAGUGAGACUCUGUCUCUUAAAAAAAAAAAGUGAGGCAUUCCAAGAUGGCCGAAUAGGAGCAGCUCCAGUCUGCAGCUCCCAUCAUGAUUGAUGCAGAAGACAGGUGAUUUCUGCAUUUCCAACUGAGGUACCUGGUUAAUCUCAUUGGGACUGGUUGGACAGUGGGUGCAGCCCACAGAGGGUGAGCUGAAGCAGGGUGGGGCAUCACCUCACCCAGGAAGCACAAGGGAUCAGAGGAUUUCCCUUUCCUAGCCAAGGGAAGCCAUGACAGACGGUACCUGGAAAAACGGGUCACUCCUGCCCAAAUACUGCUCUUUUCCCAAGGUCUUAGCAACCAGCAGACAAGGUGAUUCUCUCCUGUGCCUGGCUUGGCAGGUCCCAUGCCCAUGGAGCCUUGCUCACUGCUAGCGUAGCAGUCUGAGAUCAAUCUGCGAGGCAGAAGCCUGGCUGUGGGAGGGGCGUCCACCGUUGCUGAGGCUUGAGUAGGUAAACAAAGCGGCCAGGAAGCUCGAACUGGGCAGAGCCCGCUGCAGCUCAACAAGGCCUACUGCCUCUAGACUCCACCUCUGUGGGCAGGGUAUAGCCGAACAAAAGGCAGCAGACAACUUCUGCAGACUUAAAUGUCCCUGUCUGACAGCUCUGAAGAGAGCAGUGGUUCUCCCAGCAUGGCAUAUGUGCUCUCACACCACUACUAUUCAACAUACUAUUGGAAGUUCUGGCCAAGGGAAUCUGGCAAGAAAGAGAAAUAAAGGGUAUUCAAAUAGGAAGAGAGAAAGUCAAAUUGUCUCUGUUUGCAGACAACAUGAUUGUAUAUUUAGAAAACCCCAUCGUCUCAGCCCAAAAUCUCCUUAAGCUGAUAAGCAACUUCAGCAAAGUCUCAGAAUACAAAAUCAAUGUGCAAAAAUCACAAGUAUUCCUAUACAUCAUUAACACACAAACAGAGAGCCAAAUCAUGAGUGAACUCCCAUUCACAAUUGCUACAAAGAGAAUAAAAUACCUAGGAAUCCAACUUACAAGGGAUGUGAAGCACCUCUUCAAGGAGAACUACAAACCACUGCUCAACAAAAUAAAAGAGGACACAAACAAAUGGAAGAAUAUUCCAUGCUCAUGGAUAGGAAGAAUCAAUAUCAUGAAAAUGGCCAUACUGCCCAAAGUAAUUUAUAGAUUCAGUGCCAUCCCCGUCAAGCUACCAAUGACUUUCUUCACAGAAUUGGAAAAAACUACUUUAAAGUUCAUAUGGAACCAAAAAAGAGCCCGCAUUGCUAAGACUAUCCUAAGCAAAAAGAACAAAGCUGGAGGCAUCACGUUACCUGACUUCAAACUAUACUACAAGGCUACAGUAACCAAAACAGCAUGGUACUCAUACCAAAACAGAGACAUAGACCAAUGGAACAGAACAGAGGCCUCAGAAAUAACACCACACAUCUACAACCAUCUGAUCUUUGACAAACCUAACAAAAACAAGAAAUGGGGAAAGGAUUCCUUUUUAACAAAUGGUGCUGGGAAAACUGGCUACCCAUAUCUAGAAAGCUGAAACUGGGUCACUUCCUUACACCUUAUACAAAAAUUAAUUCAAGAUGGAUUAAAAACUUAAAUGUUAGACCUGGCUGGGCAUGGUGGCUUACACCUAUAAUCCCAGCACUUUGGGAGGCCGAGGUGGGCGGAUCAUGAGGUCAUGAGAUGAGACCAUCCUGGUUAAUAUGGUGAAACCCUGUCUCUACUAAAAAUACCCAAAAAAUUAGCUGGGCAUGGUGGCAGGCACCUGUAAUCUCAGCUACUCGGGAGG